UACAGUUGAUGGUGUGAGACACAAGUCUAAAAAUGCAUUCUUUGCUCUUCGGGGCCUCCCAACACUAGUGCUAAAUGGUCCAUCUUUCACAACAAAAUUGGUAUAUGGUUGUUCCGGAAAGAUUGUGGGUUAACUAGAACAUAAUCACACACAAAGUAAAUAGAAAAGAAAAAUAAAACCAGGUUUUUUCCAACUAGCAAGGACAAAUAUAGUUUUGGUUCUGUAGAAUGAAUGUUAAAUGCAGGAUCCUCAGUCAAGUCAAACUACCCUCCCUGGACUAUGCUUUUGUUUGCUUCUGCUGCCAUUUUCCUAUUUAAGCAGUUCUUCGCCCCAGUGUUUUCUCUCACCCUUGGUGCCGAAGAGGCAAAAAUGUAUGAAGGAAGAGAUGAGGGCGGAGAAAGUGGAUGGAGGAGUUGCGAAGGUGGUAGAGAAAGUGAAGGAGUUGCAGAGGAGGUACAUUAAUGAGAAGUAUAGAAGAGUCCAUCGGGGAAAUACACAGUGAAGACAAGAGAUUUGAGGAAAAGAUCCAAUGUUUGGUUAGUUACAUUUGACAUGGCAAAGGAGGCGGCACAAGCGUGUGAUACAGUGAAGAUUGAGUUCUACAGUGUAAAAGCCAAGACGAUUUUGCCAAUUUCGAUGGACAAAAUAAAUCGAAGUCACAGUCAGAUCAAUAUUGUUGAGUCAUUGAAUGUGGUGGCUAUGGAGGCGGUUGAGGUGGAGGCAAAGGCAGCGGCGAUGGUUGAAUUUCCACCACAGCCACCACAUUCAAUGACUCAACAGUACUGACCUGACUAGGAGUCCGAUUCAUUUUAUCCAUCAGAUUCAGAAAAUUCGUCUUGACUUUCACACGGCGAAACUCAAUAGCCAUCGUAUCAUACGCUUGCGCCCCCUCCUCCGUUGUGUCAAAUGUACCUAACAAAACAUUACAUAUUUUCCUCGGAUCUCUAGUUGCUGCCGUGUAUUUCGCUGACGGCCUCUUCCGUACUCCUCGGUAAUGCACCUCCUCCGCAACCCCUUUCACUUUCUCCUCUGCCUUCGCAACUCCUCCAUUCACUUUCACCUCUCUCGCCGCUGCCUUCGCAACUCCUCCAUUCACAUUCUCUACCCUCGUCGCCCCCUUCCUAUUUUUAUGCUUCUUCGGUCCUAUUUUCACAAGUAAUAAGGAUGAGAGAAAGUAUAGGGUGAAGAGCCGUGGUAGGGGAAGCAAACAAAACCACUGUCAAGGGUGGGAGAGUUUGACUUGACUUAUGUAAUUGUGGGGGGCCGCAUGUACAUUAUUAUUAUGUUUUAUUCUGAAUGUCUGCAGGGAUAUUUGUCUGUAUUUUAUUUCCAAAUGCCACAUGCACAUUUCAAAAAAAGAAGAAAAAGAAAAGGUUAAUAAAUGGGAAAUGAUACUUUCAAUUUGGGUUUAAUGGUUUAUUAUUUUUCGUUUUCUAGGAAAACACCAAAUCAGUCAGUAAUUUCCUGGGAAGGAUAUUCAAUUGUCGCAUUGUACUUUUUUCCGCUCCUUUGUUCAUGUGUGUGUUUUCGAGAUUGCAGCAAUUCUUCAUUCCCCAUUAUGCUGACUCUCUAUGCUUAUCUCUUACUUGAAGGUUGCCAGAAACCGAAUCCUUUUCGCGGACAAACCGAGCCUUACAAUGGGCGAUUAGUUUAAUAAGCUUUUGAUAUUGCUAUGAUUCUGUUUUCAGAAAUUCUAGCUGGUUGCAAUAAAUCUGACUGUUUCCAUUUGAUAUGAAUAUUGCAUAACGGUGGAACUUGAAAAUCUUGAAACAGAAGCACUGAGAUUGCUAGUUAGCUCAGUUCUUCUGCCCUUUGUUUAAUCCUGCCGUGUAUCCCCAGACACCACCCCCAUUGUGGUAGCCUUUCUACCGCACGAGGUAGUGGCAAGGUUUGCAUGCACUCUACCUCCCCCGACAUCACUUGUGAGAUUUCACUGGGUAUGUUUUUGUAAAGUUAGUUGAACUACAUCUGUGUUUGUACCCAAGGCCUCUUAUUACUUGUUUCAAAUUCCAACUUUGUUACUCUAUCCUUGCAUUUAUUGCUACUGCACUAUUUGACUUUUCAAAAAUAUCACCACACACUUUCAAAAAUGUAUUAUUUUUGAAGGAUCCCACAUACACUCGAUAACAACUUUGUGCAACAUAAGUUCCUACUCACUCAAAAAGGAACUCUUAAGGGAUUUGUUUCGCGUGCAGCAACCUGUUUAAUGCUGAAAAAUCAACUCUACAAAAGAUGCAACUUUACUAGGUUAAAUAAAUUGUUUUUACUUAUUGAGUGGAUUUCUUAAUACAAAUACAAGGUUUUGGGGUCAAAGCUAUUGAAGUUUGCUUCCUUGUAAUUGAAACUCUUGCUCCGCCAACUUGGCACAGAAGAAGAUGAGAAAAUGCAUUUUCUUUUUGUUCAUCUACUAAGGGGGAAAAACCUCUACUUCUAUUUUUGGUUUGGUGAAGCAAAAUUCAACUUCUUGUAACAUUGAGCUACGUUGCUUGGACUCUCCAAAAAUGUUGCAGCACCCGUGUUGAACCCUUAAAAGAUACACUACUUUGGAGGAUCAGACACGCACCCAUUAACAUUUUUUAAGAGUCUGAGCAACAUAGACAUUCAGUCUAUGUUUUCUUAGCUGAAAUUCCCUUGAUUUACAAAUUACACUUGAAAUAUAAAACAAGUUAACUUUUAAGCUAAAUCUAGUUAAAAGACGAUCUGUCUCUCUCAAACAAGAUUAAAACUCAUGAAAAAGUCACUUAAGGAAUGGAACACUCAAUUCUUCAAGAAUGUUGUUGAGGAAGCAAAUGAAGAUAGAGAAGCCCAAAAAUAAUUACAGACUGGGAGUUACAAGCUUAUUAAAGGGAGAAGUUUCACAAAUUUAGAACUUUAUCCUAUAUAGCAGAGGUGUAUCUGCAAAAAAGAAGUAAAGUAAAUUGGACAAGACUAGGAGAAUAUAACACCGACUAUUUCUUCUUUGUUAUUAACUAAAGUUCAGUUAUUUCUUCCUGAAUUAGUUAUUAAAGGGCAGCCCGGUGCACUAAAGCUAGCGCUAUGCGCGGUGUCCGGGGAAGGCCCCACCACAAGGGUGUAUCGUACGCAGCCUUACCUUGCAUUUCUGCCGGAGGCUGUUUCCAAGGCUUGAACCCGUGACCUCUUGGUAACAUGGCAACAACUUUACCAGUUACUCCUGGUCCUGAAUUAGUUAUUGUCUUGAAAAUAAUGUAUGUGCAUUUCCCUGUGGCAAGCCAAUCAUUUCUCAUUACUCUGCAAGCUUGUUAAUUUUGUUUUCUCAUCUGUAAUAAUGUAAUAAUGUUAGUACCUUUUUAUGGACACAUUGUGCAACAGAAACUCAAGAUCCUACUGUAGACACCUAAUUUUGUCCCUCUCAAAAUUCAAUUUUAUCGAUUUUUAGCUCACCUUACUACGCACCCUCUUCCAUGUGAUUAUACCCACCAAAAUACAAAAAAUAACAAUCUUUAACAAAAUUCCUAACAAAUUUUAUCUUGUUUUAUCUCAUCCUAAUAACUACCCCACCCCCCACUCACGUCAACACCCCUUCACUUUUUUUUAUUCCUUUUUAACCAACACACUAACAACAAAAUAGGGAGGGGUCCACUAAUUUAUACAUCACACAAUAUAGAUUCACAUAGAUAUGGAUGAACACAAAAAAUGAGGGCCCACAGAGAAUAUUUCCCUCAACAGAAUACUGCUAAUACAAUUCCCAUUUUUGAAUGGUGGGGCCCACGGGUACACCUCACAAAAAAAACACCAAAAUUCCUGUAAAAAAGCAAGGGGCCUCACUGGAAGGGGGAUUUUUUUUUUCUUUCUUCUCCAAGGGAAACGGGAGUGAUCACCAUACACAGAUCACUGACCUCACAACUUUUUCACUAACAAAUACAAAAAAGAGCACUCACAGACACACUCACACUCACCUCACCACAAAAAUUCCCAAAUUCACUGAAAAAAAAAAAGGCACCUCCAUUUUUGCUCCAUUUUCUUGGGAGAAUUAACAGAAAACACACCUGCACGCACUCAUCACACCUAUUUUCCUUUUCCCUCACACACAAAAUCGCACAUAUGGAGAGAUUGAGAGGGAAAGAAGAGAAAUUAAGAGAGACCGAGAGAGAGGAGAAAAAUGUUGAACGGAAAGAGAUAGAGAGAGAGGGAGGUAACAGAGAAAUGAGCGAGAGAAAACAGAGGUUGAGCGGGAUCAGUGAAAACCCGCCAAACUUACCCCAAGUAGAACCAUUUUCGUCGUCAAAUCGAUCAGAAAAAGAACUAAAAACCGACCUCCGUUUCAGUUUCUCCGACCGAACAGUCGCAGAGUGCGAAAUUGAUUACAGGCCUCUUGUUUUCUUUGUGAUUCUGGUUCGGGUUAAUAAGAAAUAGAAUAAAGGGGUUUGGUCGAAUUGGAGUUGGUCCGCUGUUGAGGUUCGAAUCGAAGGUUUCGGAUGCGGAGAAUCCGGAUUCAAUCGAAAUAGUACAUUGAUUUCGAAAGUUUCUUCUAAGGAAUGACCGAAGAAAAUUGUAUUUAUUUACCGGGGAAUGCCCCGGCGUAUCAUGUUUUCGAAGGAGGUUCGUGAUCAAGGCUUGAGGCAUCGGGUAAAGCAUUGGAGCUUAGCCUAGGACUAGUUUAGAAUAGGAUUUAUAUUUUAUGCAUUUUUAUUUUGGGACUGUAUAAAUUGGACCGGACGCUAUAUUUUGGAUUGUUUUGUAUUGUCUGUUGAUUGAUUGUUU
Capsicum annuum is the source of this 4722-nucleotide long non-coding RNA. RefSeq lists it as uncharacterized. NCBI's taxonomy places the organism in Eukaryota, Viridiplantae, Streptophyta, Magnoliopsida, Solanales, Solanaceae. The transcript has 2 exons. The record is from RefSeq and is a predicted model, not a curated record.